GGCUCAGAACGAACGCUGGCGGCGUGCCUAACACAUGCAAGUCGAACGGACUUGAGGGGCUUGCUCUUCAAGUUAGUGGCGCACGGGUGAGUAACGCGUAGAUAAUCUGCCUGAUGAUCUGGGAUAACACUUCGAAAGGGGUGCUAAUACCGGAUAAGCCCACGGUGUCUUUGGACAUUGCGGGAAAAGGGGGGGACCUUCGGGCCUUUUGUCAUCAGAUGAGUCUGCGUACCAUUAGCUAGUUGGUAGGGUAAUGGCCUACCAAGGCGACGAUGGUUAGCUGGUUUGAGAGAAUGAUCAGCCACACUGGAACUGAGACACGGUCCAGACUCCUACGGGAGGCAGCAGUGGGGAAUUUUGCGCAAUGGGCGAAAGCCUGACGCAGCAACGCCGCGUGAGUGAUGAAGGCUUUCGGGUCGUAAAGCUCUGUCAGAGGGAAAGAAGUGUAUUGUGGCUAAUAUCCACGAUACUUGACGGUACCCUCAAAGGAAGCACCGGCUAACUCCGUGCCAGCAGCCGCGGUAAUACGGGGGGUGCAAGCGUUGUUCGGAUUUAUUGGGCGUAAAGAGCGUGUAGGCGGUUUGUUAAGUCUGAUGUGAAAGCCCUGGGCUCAACCCAGGAAGUGCAUUGGAAACUGGCGGACUUGAAUACGGGAGAGGGCAGUGGAAUUCCUAGUGUGGGAGUGAAAUCCGUAGAUAUUAGGAGGAACACCGGUGGCGAAGGCGGCUGCCUGGACCGAUAUUGACGCUGAGACGCGAAAGCGUGGGUAGCAAACAGGAUUAGAUACCCUGGUAGUCCACGCCGUAAACGAUGAGAACUAGGUGUUGCGGGUAUUGACCCCUGCAGUGCCGCAGCUAACGCAUUAAGUUCUCCGCCUGGGAAGUACGGUCGCAAGACUAA
Molecule: ribosomal RNA, 900 nt
Filed under: uncultured bacterium
Lineage: Bacteria
Description: bacterial SSU rRNA
Rfam family: Bacterial small subunit ribosomal RNA
Source: RNAcentral